GAACGCACAUUGCGCCUUCUGGUAUUCUGGGAGGCAUGCCUGUUUGAGCGUCAUUAAACCCCACUCUAGCAGUUUUGCUAGGAUAUGAAGGAAGAGCACAUUGGAGGCUCUCCUUUGAAAUGUAUUAGUAGAUAUAAAGUUGUGAAUUACACUAUUUUGAUGUAAAAGUCUUUAUUGGUUGUGAUUUGUAUACAACUAUAUCUUGCUUUAACAUUUUUUUGCUAGGCUGUUGAAUCAUAAGAGUUAUAUAAAUCUUAUUUUUAAAACACUUACAAAAAAUAUAAUUUUAUGGUUGACCUCAAAUCAGGUAGGGAUACCCGCUGAACUUAAG
RNAcentral lists this unclassified non-coding RNA (331 nucleotides) under Trichophaea woolhopeia. Its description in RNAcentral is "sequence contains 5.8S rRNA gene". The stretch from base 1 to 53 matches the Rfam family "5.8S ribosomal RNA", at positions 102 to 154 of the family's 154-position model. Lineage: Eukaryota; Fungi; Ascomycota; Pezizomycetes; Pezizales; Pyronemataceae. The record is from RNAcentral.